GGGGGUCUAGCUCAUCGGUAGAGCGCUCGCUUAGCAUGCGAGAGGUAACGUGUUCGACUCAUGUGUCCUCCA
Transfer RNA from Serendipita vermifera MAFF 305830, 72 nucleotides. It matches the Rfam family "tRNA". Rfam says of the family: Transfer RNA (tRNA) molecules are approximately 80 nucleotides in length. Their secondary structure includes four short double-helical elements and three loops (D, anti-codon, and T loops). Further hydrogen bonds mediate the characteristic L-shaped molecular structure. tRNAs have two regions of fundamental functional importance: the anti-codon, which is responsible for specific mRNA codon recognition, and the 3' end, to which the tRNAs corresponding amino acid is attached (by aminoacyl-tRNA synthetases). tRNAs cope with the degeneracy of the genetic code in two manners: having more than one tRNA (with a specific anti-codon) for a particular amino acid; and 'wobble' base-pairing, i.e. permitting non-standard base-pairing at the 3rd anti-codon position. NCBI's taxonomy places the organism in Eukaryota, Fungi, Basidiomycota, Agaricomycetes, Sebacinales, Serendipitaceae. The record is from Rfam.